Molecule: long non-coding RNA, 680 nt
Organism: Cynara cardunculus var. scolymus (artichoke)
Lineage: Eukaryota; Viridiplantae; Streptophyta; Magnoliopsida; Asterales; Asteraceae
Exons: 3
Source: RefSeq, a predicted model, not a curated record
CAUGGUGGUUGAGAGCAUCGCCACCGAGGUUCUUAGUCAUCGACGGGGUAAAUCGACAAAACACUGGAGGCCGACGUUGGCAGCGAUUACGGAGGACGGUGUUGCUCGGGAAAAAGUUCAUAUGAUUCUUAUGGUUUUGAUUAUAGUUGGGCAGGAAAGAUUCAGAAUUCAAAACUCUAACCAAUUCAUAUUAUAGAGGAGCCCAAAGAAUUAUAAUGGAUCUGUAGUUGUGAGCUCAAUUGCAUAAGUUCCAGCAGCUUGGAUACGAAGGCAUUACAGUUUAGAAUCACAAGUACAUUUAUGAAGGUACUUUUCUUCUCUAUAGUUCUUUAUGUGCUUCAAUUCCAACAAAUGUGGAUUCACUUAUAUUGAUCAAGACGAGGAUGGCCAAUGAGAGAGAGUGUGUGGGAUCCAAUACUCAGAUUUGCAUCAAGUUGUCACCUAUUCCAUUCGUACCCCACCUGAAUGGCCUCCCAUGUUACAAUUACCAGCUCCACAAUAUCGUGCAUUGAGAACUGAUUUUCUUUCAUUUGGAGACUUGCCUGGUGUUUGGAGUGUCUACAAGCACAUGAAAGAAUGUUGGAAGAACUAAAAAAGAAACCUGUCCAAAUUCCUACAUAAAAGGGCAGAUAUUGGAACAUUCUUUAGAUAGGAUCAAGUCAUAGAACUUGAUCUUYAUA